CAAAAAUAUAUUUCAUAAGACAUCAGAAUAUACUUUUUUCCCCAAAAAGAAAAUUUCUCGCUUUCUUCACGAAACUUCACACGAAGAACCCGAUUUACCCCCAAAUCACUGAAGGUUUAUCAGAACAGAAGAACAGAUUUCACGAUUUCACGUUCAAGAGCUGAAGAACUAAUCGCUGAAGAACACGAUUUCACGGUUUUUUGUUGAAGACGCUUCAUAGAUGAACACGCCUCACUAAAAUGCUUAUCGCUGAAGAGCACAAUUUUCUCACAGAACUGAAGAAUAGUUUUUCGUCAACUUUCUCACAGAACAGAAGAACAGAUUUCACGAUUUCACGUUGAAGAGCUGAAGAACUAAUCGAUGAAGAACACGAUUUGACGGUUUUUGUUGAAGACGCUUCAUUGAUGAACACGCCUCACUAAAAUGCUUCAUCACAUUGAAAGGAUUUUUUUUGAAUAGGUUUUAUCAGUCAGACUAUCGAGACAUGAAAUCGGUCUCCUAAUGCUGCUCGAACAUUAGAUUUAGCUUCCAACUCUUGAAGCUAGAACUGGUGGGGCACGACGAGCUGGUGAAGUUGAAGGAAGCAGUUACAACUAUCGUUCAGUCUUGACAAUUGCAUUCCAGUACCCUUCUGAGAAUAACUAUCGAGAAAAUGUAGCUGCUAUGGCUCGCCAAUAUGAACGAAGCAUUGUAGGCUCUGUUGAGAGAGUUGCUAUGGCUAUUGCACCCUCUCGACUCUGCUCUCAGUUGACACCUAAAUCCUUCCCUGGCUCACCAAAAGCUGUCACUUUUGCGAGAUCAAUUUGCAGGAGCUAUAAGAAUCAUACUGGUGAGAAUUGCUACAGGUUAAUUCUCAAGCUGUCGGUGAUACUGUUCGGAAGCAACUAUGGCACUAUACUGAUUGAAUAAUUUGCUGCUCCGUCAAAAUGAGUGUCAGUUCUUGCAUGUCGUUGCUGCAGGAUGAAUUGGAGGCAGAACUUGAAGAAUUAGAAGAGUAGCUGCUUCAACCAGCAGCUACUGUUCCUGCUGCUCCAGUCCAUGUUCCUGCAGGAAACCAACCUGCUCUGUCCUUUCCUUAGAAGCGUACAGCUGAAGAAGAUGAACUUGUUGCGUCAAGCAGAGAUGGCUUUUUGAGCUAGUAUGCCUAUGAGUAUUAACUAGUAACUUACUGAUUGGUGAAAUGUGAGCUCAUGUGUUUGAAAGAUUCCACCAAACCACAUGCAAUAUUUUUGAUAUGAAUUGUUGGGGUCCUUACUUCCAUUUGCAUAUAGUGUAUCUAGUAGUAUUUACAAUCAUUUGGUCCAGAUUACUUACUUGGAUGAAAAUUCUAAUCCUUUAUUGAUUUGUGAUCGUAUUUGUUUUUCUGCAGGUAUUUUCACAGGUAGCUUACAUAUAGAGACUGGUUUUACACAUGUAAGAAAACACUGAAAAUUAUUUCACAUUUCUCCUUUCUAUGGAAACUCAUUUUUGUUGUUGUACUCCUUAUGAUAAAACAUAUGGAUUGAGACAUUCACAGGCUGCAUGGAACAUAUGCAGCUACCAUAAGCAAGCAACCAAGGUAACUAAUUUACUCUAUAUUAAGUCUGCUUGGUUGCUUUCUCCGCCCUCUCCGUUAUCUCUUUAACUGAAACUUUAUUUACUAGCGAAAGAACAUAAUAAACUGAUUGUGAUUAUGUUAGUUGUUCCUUCAGAAAACAUAGGAGAAAUACUCCUCCAGCAUGAGGGGUGAACUAAAAGGCAGGUAUUUAGAUUUUUAGCGUAAGCACAGUCGCAAAAUGGAAACAAAAAGGAUGAGAAAGAGCUGAGGUGUAAGCAUGAGGAUAGCCAAGUUUACUUUGCAACCCACCGAAGUGCUGCAUUUAGCCCUUGCUCCAACAUGCGAAGCCUAGAAGGAAGUGGAUUAAGAAAGCGAUGAAAAGGAUCAAUCGACGUUUCGCCGAUCAGUUUCAUGAAGCAGUGUUUUUCCGCCCAAUGUUACAUCAUGCAUAGACGAUGAAGGCAAAGCACAAAUGGGGACGAACUACAAGAAGGGCGAAUCGUCGAAUCACUUGGCGAUUCAAGACUACAUUCGCCGAACGGAUUCUCCAACACUUAAUCUGAAGUCUAUAACUACUAAUUUCUUUAUCAUUUUCUAGGGAUUCGAAAAUUAUUUUCACUUUUAACUUUUAGAUCCUUUGUUUUUGUAUUUUUUUUCAAGUUUGGAGAGGAUUUUGCAGAAGACUUGAAGAAAUGAGCUCUUCUUCCUCAAAUUGGAAGAAAAUGAAAGUGGAUGACCACUAUGGAUGUCACACAGAUCAUCCUCUCCUAAAGCUAUUGAACCUCAGAGAUAAUAGACUAACGUUCAAACAGGCAGGAAAAGAGACAAUUUUGGAAAUGUGGUUGAGGUUCAAAGAAAACUUGCAGACAUGCAAACCUAAUGGAGUUCGUGGUAAGAAACUUCUGGAUUAUUUCCGUCGGGGUUUGAACCCGAAAAUAGAAGAAUCUUGAGCACCUUUGCGAAGCGGGAAUGCUAAACCAACCCUCACCUAUUGUUGCUACACUACUUGAUAAAAUGGUGAAACCAACAAAGAAGCCCAAAAGAAAUACGAAUGGGAUAAACUAGUGGCGCAAGUAGAUGUUCUAUCCAAACUGUCACGAUCUGAGAGAACCCCCAAGUCGUGACGCGGCGUACUCGAACUCUCGGAGGUCUUAUACAAGUCUCUUAGCAU
Molecule: long non-coding RNA, 2708 nt
Organism: Solanum pennellii
Lineage: Eukaryota; Viridiplantae; Streptophyta; Magnoliopsida; Solanales; Solanaceae
Exons: 6
Source: RefSeq, a predicted model, not a curated record